GUGAACGAUGAAGGCUUUCGGGUCGUAAAGUUCUGUUGUUAGGGAAGAACAAGUACCAGAGUAACUGCUGGUACCUUGACGGUACCUAACCAGAAAGCCACGGCUAACUACGUGCCAGCAGCCGCGGUAAUACGUAGGUGGCAAGCGUUGUCCGGAAUUAUUGGGCGUAAAGCGCUCGCAGGCGGUUUCUUAAGUCUGAUGUGAAAGCCCACGGCUCAACCGUGGAGGGUCAUUGGAAACUGGGGAACUUGAGUGCAGAAGAGGAGAGUGGAAUUCCACGUGUAGCGGUGAAAUGCGUAGAGAUGUGGAGGAACACCAGUGGCGAAGGCGACUCUCUGGUCUGUAACUGACGCUGAGGAGCGAAAGCGUGGGGAGCGAACAGGAUUA
RNAcentral lists this ribosomal RNA (387 nucleotides) under Metabacillus halosaccharovorans. Its description in RNAcentral is "bacterial SSU rRNA". It matches the Rfam family "Bacterial small subunit ribosomal RNA", at positions 401 to 780 of the family's 1533-position model. The record is from RNAcentral. Lineage: Bacteria; Bacillati; Bacillota; Bacilli; Caryophanales; Bacillaceae.